This 253-nucleotide ribosomal RNA is filed under the name uncultured bacterium. RNAcentral's name for it is "partial 16S ribosomal RNA". It matches the Rfam family "Bacterial small subunit ribosomal RNA", at positions 524 to 776 of the family's 1533-position model. The record is from RNAcentral.
UACGGAGGGGGCUAGCGUUGUUCGGAAUUACUGGGCGUAAAGCGCACGUAGGCGGCUUUGCAAGUCAGAGGUGAAAGCCCGGGGCUCAACCCCGGAAUUGCCUUUGAGACUGCAUCGCUAGAAUUGUGGAGAGGUAAGUGGAAUUCCGAGUGUAGAGGUGAAAUUCGUAGAUAUUCGCAAGAACACCAGUGGCGAAGGCGGCUCACUGGCCCGGUACUGACGCUGAGGUGCGAAAGCGUGGGGAGCAAACAGG